UUACAGGCUAUGAAGAGAACAAGUAGCAGAUGACAAGGCUCAGACAGAAAGUAACCGGUUGAUGAGAGGUGCACGAAGAGUCAGAUGUGAAUACAUCUUGGAGUUUCACACCGAACGCGCGGAAGCGCAAGUAAGCUGUGACGGAGUGGCGGACGUUAUACCUGCUACGGUAAUGUUAGUUACUGACUGAGGCAUUCGGUGCGAGCCGAAUGUGAAUUAAGGUGGUACCACGAGAGAAUAUACCUCGUCCUUAAA
Molecule: non-coding RNA, 255 nt
Filed under: Allocoprococcus comes
Lineage: Bacteria; Bacillati; Bacillota; Clostridia; Lachnospirales; Lachnospiraceae
Description: Coprococcus comes T-box sequence
Rfam family: T-box leader
About the family: Uncharged tRNA acts as the effector for transcription antitermination of genes in the T-box leader family.
Source: RNAcentral